UGCAGUCGACGGUGAAGAGGAGCUUGCUCCUUGGAUCAGUGGCGAACGGGUGAGUAACACGUGAGCAAUCUGCCCUUGACUCUGGGAUAACUGCGGGAAACUGUAGCUAAUACCGGAUAUUACCUUGGAAGGCAUCUUCUGGGGUGGAAAGAAUUUUGGUCAAGGAUGAGCUCGCGGCCUAUCAGCUAGUUGGUGAGGUAAUGGCUCACCAAGGCGACGACGGGUAGCCGGCCUGAGAGGGUGACCGGCCACACUGGGACUGAGACACGGCCCAGACUCCUACGGGAGGCAGCAGUGGGGAAUAUUGCACAAUGGGCGCAAGCCUGAUGCAGCAACGCCGCGUGAGGGACGACGGCCUUCGGGUUGUAAACCUCUUUUAGUAGGGAAGAAGCGACUGGGUUUUCCUGGAAGUGACGGUACCUGCAGAAAAAGCACCGGCUAACUACGUGCCAGCAGCCGCGGUAAUACGUAGGGUGCAAGCGUUGUCCGGAAUUAUUGGGCGUAAAGAGCUCGUAGGCGGUUUGUCGCGUCUGCUGUGAAAACCCGAGGCUCAACCUCGGGCCUGCAGUGGGUACGGGCAGACUAGAGUGCGGUAGGGGAGAUUGGAAUUCCUGGUGUAGCGGUGGAAUGCGCAGAUAUCAGGAGGAACACCAAUGGCGAAGGCAGAUCUCUGGGCCGUAACUGACGCUGAGGAGCGAAAGCAUGGGGA
This 709-nucleotide ribosomal RNA is filed under the name uncultured bacterium. RNAcentral's name for it is "bacterial SSU rRNA". It matches the Rfam family "Bacterial small subunit ribosomal RNA", at positions 56 to 767 of the family's 1533-position model. The record is from RNAcentral.